UAGAGUUUGAUCAUGGCUCAGGAUGAACGCUAGCGACAGGCUUAACACAUGCAAGUCGAGGGGCAGCGGGGAGGUAGCAAUACUUCCGCCGGCGACCGGCGCACGGGUGAGUAACACGUAUGGAACCUGCCCGUAGCAGGGGGAUAAACGGAAGAAAUUCCGUCUAAUACCGCGUAAUAACUCCGAGAGGCAUCUCAUGGAGUUUAAAGGGUAACACCGGCUACGGAUGGCCAUGCGGCGCAUUAGCUAGUUGGCGGGGUAACGGCCCACCAAGGCGACGAUGCGUAGGGGUUCUGAGAGGAAGGUCCCCCACACUGGUACUGAGACACGGACCAGACUCCUACGGGAGGCAGCAGUGAGGAAUAUUGGUCAAUGGGCGCGAGCCUGAACCAGCCAAGUCGCGUGAGGGAAGACGGUCCUAUGGAUUGUAAACCUCUUUUGUCGGGGAGCAAAAGACGCCACGUGUGGCGUUCCGAGAGUACCCGAAGAAAAAGCAUCGGCUAACUCCGUGCCAGCAGCCGCGGUAAUACGGAGGAUGCGAGCGUUAUCCGGAUUUAUUGGGUUUAAAGGGUGCGCAGGCGGAAGAUCAAGUCAGCGGUAAAAUUGAGAGGCUCAACCUCUUCGAGCCGUUGAAACUGGUUUUCUUGAGUGAGCGAGAAGUAUGCGGAAUGCGUGGUGUAGCGGUGAAAUGCAUAGAUAUCACGCAGAACUCCGAUUGCGAAGGCAGCAUACCGGCGCUCAACUGACGCUCAUGCACGAAAGUGUGGGUAUCGAACAGGAUUAGAUACCCUGGUAGUCCACACAGUAAACGAUGAAUACUAAUUGUUCGGGGAGAAUGAUCCCUGAGUGAUACAGCGAAAGCGUUAAGUAUUCCACCUGGGGAGUACGCCGGCAACGGUGAAACUCAAAGGAAUUGACGGGGGCCCGCACAAGCGGAGGAACAUGUGGUUUAAUUCGAUGAUACGCGAGGAACCUUACCCGGGCUCAAACGACACAGGAAUACUUUUGAAAGGAGGUAGCUCUACGGAGUCUGUGUCGAGGUGCUGCAUGGUUGUCGUCAGCUCGUGCCGUGAGGUGUCGGCUUAAGUGCCAUAACGAGCGCAACCCCCAUCGCCAGUUACCAGCAAGUCAAGUUGGGGACUCUGGCGAGACUGCCGGCGCAAGCUGUGAGGAAGGCGGGGAUGACGUCAAAUCAGCACGGCCCUUACGUCCGGGGCGACACACGUGUUACAAUGGCAGGUACAGAGAGAAGCAAUGCGGCGACGCAAAGCGGAACUUGAAAGCCUGUCUCAGUUCGGAUUGGAGUCUGCAACUCGACUCCAUGAAGCUGGAUUCGCUAGUAAUCGCGCAUCAGCCAUGGCGCGGUGAAUACGUUCCCGGGCCUUGUACACACCGCCCGUCAAGCCAUGGAAGCCGGGAGUGCCUGAAGUGUGCAACCGCAAGGAGCGCCCUAAGGUAAAACUGGUGACUGGGGCUAAGUCGUAACAAGGUAGCCGUA
This 1498-nucleotide ribosomal RNA is filed under the name uncultured bacterium. Its description in RNAcentral is "16S ribosomal RNA". It matches the Rfam family "Bacterial small subunit ribosomal RNA". The record is from RNAcentral.